Molecule: ribosomal RNA, 34 nt
Filed under: Fusarium sp. JJ002
Lineage: Eukaryota; Fungi; Ascomycota; Sordariomycetes; Hypocreales; Nectriaceae
Description: partial 18S ribosomal RNA
Source: RNAcentral
AGGUCUCGUUGGUGAACCAGCGGAGGGAUCAUUA